AAAUUUUUUUCCAUAUUAAUGAAGUAGCGACUAGAGAGAUUAAGUAUAGGUUAGGGAAGUUGAAGUUAGAGCAACAAAAGGAGAGACGAGAAGGAAGAAGUUGGUGGCAUUGAAUACUUUGGUGACGUCCUCGUCUUAAUGAUAUAACUUUCUGCUAACACCAUUGAAUUGCGCAUGUGAAGGGCCCUUAUUUAAUACUUAAUGCAUGUUAAAUUCACCUCUUGGUCCGGCCCAACAUUUAAUAGCUUUUCGACGCAUUUAUUGCUUUGCUUCAACGCAGGCCGCAAGGCUCUUAUCAGUUACGCGAACCACUUGGCACUUAGUUAUUUCACCUGCCUCGGUGUGAAUAUUCGGUUCUCUGUAUUAACAUUAUAUAUUCUAAGUGCGUCAACCGGCUUUUACUAACUACUAUCUUCUUGAGGUUGGGCCGACCUUUACUUAUUAACCUAACUUAUUAACUUUAACGUCACUAAUAGGCCAUUAAGCCACUUCUGAAUACCGCCUACGGCAAUAUUUUAGAAGGUGUGUAUGAGCGCCAAUUAUCAUUGAGAUACCUUAAAAUCUGCGCAUAUUGAUCAUACUUUCUAUUGUCUCUUGAUAUAGAUUCUAAUAGCCUUGGUUCUACCACUUUCAGUAUAAUUAAGUUCCUGUCUUACCGUGGAUGCAACAGCUGCCUACCGUCUUAUUGUGACUGGCUCCUCGUCCUAUUUAGAUACUAUCCAGUUCCUGUUAUCAGUUAGGUUUCGAGCACUAAAUGUGGACUCCGCCUCCGAGAUUCUCUUGUGCUCUCGGAGAUCUGCAUUGGACCCAAUAAAAGUUAUUAGAGCAGU
This is a long non-coding RNA of Hyalella azteca, 830 nucleotides long. RefSeq lists it as uncharacterized. NCBI's taxonomy places the organism in Eukaryota, Metazoa, Arthropoda, Malacostraca, Amphipoda, Hyalellidae. The transcript has 2 exons. The record is from RefSeq and is a predicted model, not a curated record.